AAUUCUUCCUAUUCGGGAAGGAUGAGAAGCUUCGACCAAGGUUCGAUUCGAGCGUUAGCGAGAAAGCGUUGCCGCAGG
Molecule: small RNA, 78 nt
Filed under: Citrobacter sp. Cf111
Lineage: Bacteria; Pseudomonadati; Pseudomonadota; Gammaproteobacteria; Enterobacterales; Enterobacteriaceae
Description: partial RtT sRNA
Rfam family: RtT RNA
About the family: This family represents a bacterial cis-regulatory element known as RtT RNA. The exact function of RtT is unknown although it is thought that it may be involved in changing the cellular response in relation to amino acid starvation.
Source: RNAcentral